UUGUACAGCCGCCCGGAUUCGCAGGGGCAGUCGCUCAGAUUCGCUGGGAGUUCUCCGCCUGCAAUGUAUUCAAGUCAAGACAUGUUCUGGUGUACAAUGUACUCAGUUGUCCCUAAAAGGCUCUACCACCAGCUUGCAACAUUGGUAUUGAUCAUUCUAACAAAAUAUAUUCCACUGAACUUGAGAAGAUGCCUACUUAAUUUUCUUGUCUCUGUACUUGCGGUUGCCGAUCGAAAAUCUGCAUCAGCAAACUUAUGA
RNAcentral lists this unclassified non-coding RNA (258 nucleotides) under Zea mays. RNAcentral describes it as "misc RNA Zm00001eb224660". Lineage: Eukaryota; Viridiplantae; Streptophyta; Magnoliopsida; Poales; Poaceae. The record is from RNAcentral.